CAGGUCGAGAAUCACCUUCAUCUCCAUUUUUCCAUGGCCCGUUCCAUCUCACAAACCCUAAAUCUCAUCCGAUCGAAUUGCGCAACCGCAACCGGCGCGUCCUUCCUGCCUCCCGGCGCCAAAUCGUCGUCAUCGGCGGUCGUUAAUUCAAUUCGUCUGACGUCCUCGCGGAGCGUUUCGAGCCAUCCCGACAGCUCCGUUAAGAAUGCGUCCGGCGACGUCUCCGAGGCGGAUGCAGUGGCGGUGCAGCGAAUCGAGGACGCCAUCCACCGUAUCAUAGUCCGCCGAUCCGCUCCCGAUUGGCUCCCGUUUGUUCCCGGUGCAUCUUAUUGGGUUCCACCGCGUCGCGGUUCGUACGGUAUUGCCGACCUUGUUCAUAAGCUGUCCAAUUCACUUUCCGAAGAAGAGGUUAUGGCCCUCACCACUGAUCGUGGCUGGCCGUCGUCCUCUUUUUUUGUAGACGAAACACAUGCUGACCCCAAAAGCACCUCUAAGGAUGAGGAAGAAAAAUGAUAGACCUUACCUUUGACUUAAUUGUUGUCUGAGGACUGCUGGUACAAGCGGUCUGUACAUUUAUGCUUCACUUGGAGGGCUCUGUUUCACGAUGGAAGAUACACACCUGUAAAUAUACCAACUGCUAUAGCCAAUUUGCCAUGGUGGCUUUGUAUUGUUCAUUCGACUUUACUGUCUUUCCCCUUUCUUUAUAACAUUGUAAAUUAUUUAAUUUUCUGGUUAAAUUCCUUCUGUAGAAUUACUAAAUCCCCCAUGAUAUAAAAUGACAUUAAAAUAAAUUAUCUACUCUGGUUAUUUAA
Long non-coding RNA from Ipomoea nil (Japanese morning glory), 812 nucleotides. RefSeq lists it as uncharacterized. The record is from RefSeq and is a predicted model, not a curated record. NCBI's taxonomy places the organism in Eukaryota, Viridiplantae, Streptophyta, Magnoliopsida, Solanales, Convolvulaceae. The transcript has 3 exons.